RNAcentral lists this transfer RNA (67 nucleotides) under Scarabaeidae sp. BMNH 1274750. Its description in RNAcentral is "tRNA-Tyr". The record is from RNAcentral. Lineage: Eukaryota; Metazoa; Arthropoda; Insecta; Coleoptera; Scarabaeidae.
AGUAAAGUGGCCGAGAAUAGGUGAUAAAUUGUAAAUUUAUAGAUGAAAUUAAGUUUUCCUUUACUAU